CAGUAGCCGCGGUAAAACGGAGGGUGCAAGCGUUAAUCGGAAUUACUGGGCGUAAAGCGCACGCAGGCGGUCUGACAAGUCAGAUGUGAAAUCCCCGGGCUUAACCUGGGAACUGCAUUUGAAACUGUCAGGCUGGAGUCUUGUAGAGGGGGGUGGAAUUCCAGGUGUAGCGGUGAAAUGCGUAGAGAUCUGGAGGAAUACCGGUGGCGAAGGCGGCCCCCUGGACAAAGACUGACGCUCAGGUGCGAAAGCGUGGGGAGCAAACAGGAUUAGAUACCCCGGUAGUCCCUGUCUCUUAUAC
This 301-nucleotide ribosomal RNA is filed under the name uncultured bacterium. Its description in RNAcentral is "partial 16S ribosomal RNA". It matches the Rfam family "Bacterial small subunit ribosomal RNA", at positions 509 to 807 of the family's 1533-position model. The record is from RNAcentral.